RNAcentral lists this ribosomal RNA (301 nucleotides) under uncultured bacterium. Its description in RNAcentral is "partial 16S ribosomal RNA". It matches the Rfam family "Bacterial small subunit ribosomal RNA", at positions 509 to 807 of the family's 1533-position model. The record is from RNAcentral.
CAGCAGCCGCGGUAAUACGUAGGCGGCAAGCGUUGUCCGGAAUUAUUGGGCGUAAAGCGCGCGCAGGUGGUUUAAUAAGUCUGAUGUGAAAGCCCACGGCUCAACCGUGGAGGGUCAUUGGAAACUGUUAAACUUGAGUGCAGGAGAGAAAAGUGGAAUUCCUAGUGUAGCGGUGAAAUGCGCAGAGAUUAGGAGGAACACCAGUGGCGAAGGCGGCUUUUUGGCCUGUAACUGACACUGUGGCGCGAAAGCGUGGGGAGCAAACAGGAUUAGAUACCCCUGUAGUCCCUGUCUCUUAUAC